GUGUUUGUGUGUGUGUGUGUAUGUGUGUGUGUGUGUGUGUGUGUGUGUGUGUGUGUGAGGAUCAGAUUGUGUUCAGGUGUGUCAGAGUGAAUCUGAUCAGCAGGAAGGAUCAGAGAGGUAAACACUCAGUUUGUUCCAGUCGAGCACAAACAAAGAAAGAGAACCGGUUCAGUGUGAUGACAGAAGAGAAACUGCAGCAGGGGGCUUGUUGGUGUCAGACUCAGCAUGUGUGAUGUCGAGGCUGCAGCCUGCAGCUGCUGCAGGAGCUCCCAGAUCUCCCAGAGGGCCGAGCGGCGGCGGCCAGCUGCAGAUGAGGAUCAGAUGAGCCGACUGGAGUUUACAGCCAUUUACCUGCUGAUGGACAAACAGCUGAUGGACUUCAACUUCCACCUGGAACCUUCAAACACAAAGCUGGUGUGUGUGAGGACCAGCAGUAUGGGUUACCCUCCAUGUUUCUAGACUGGCUGACAAGGUUCUGAUGCUGAGAGGAGGAACGGCUCUCUACUAAACGUCUGAUUCAUGUUGUUCCACGUGGACAAAACUGCUCAUUCAAAGACGUCGAGGAGCAAAAACUGUCACAUUUAUAUUCCAACAAGUCUGUUUGUUUCAGUUUUAAAACGUGUUCGUCAAACAGUCUCAGUUUGGUGACAAAAUGGCUCGAUGAGGUUUAAGAAAAGAUGAGGGUUUAGGUUCCUUUAAACUUGAGCUCAGUGUAUAAAAUGAGCUGCUGUGACCUCGAGGAUAAUCACAGCCUCAUGAAACUUUACAACCGUAAACUAGAGACCUGAAGCAUUCAGAGGAUGGAUGGUUUUACACACUAGAUGCACAAUAAGGGUGUUUCUCCGUAGUUUAAAGAACAGAAGUGUUCCUCAUACAGUCGCAGAAAAAUGCAAUUGCUUGCGAAAUCUCCGAAACAUCUAAACUUAUUGAAACCAAAUCACAGCAUGAAUUUUUAAAUGGUGUUCCUCAAGGUCUUGGUGUCUUAAUUUUUGGAUUCUGGAGAGACUUUAGCCAAUUCUCGAGUUAAAAAAAUGUUAAAUGUAUCACCAAAUGUGUAUUCGGUCCGUUUACCGUAGACAGAAACUGUAAAAACAGGCAGUUAUCGAGUUUACAACACAAGAAUACAAUCGCUGAAAAAUGACAUUUUUGCAGAAAUCUACAAAAUGUCAAAAGUUUUUGAAGCCAAAUCACAGCAGGAUUCUUCUCUCUGGUGUUCCUCAAGGUCUUGGUGUCUUAAUGUGAUAUUCUGGAGGGUUUUUGACCAUUUUUUAUAUAUUCUCGGGUAAAAUUAUUGCAGAAUUCAGCACCAAAUCUUUGUAACAAAUGGUACAAACCUGGAAAUUGUUGCAACAACUUAUGGGACAAAGUUCAGCUGGUGAUGGACUUCAUAAAGUAAUUUCAAAAUGUAUUACAUAUGAAUAUUUGUGCAUCCUGGGCUCCCUAUAGAAACAGUCUGUGAGCUGCAUAAUUAGUACUUGUCAUAGUUACAGAAAAUGCAGAAAUCUCCAAAAAGUGAAGAGUUUUUGAUGCCAGAUCACAGCGUGGGUUGGUCCAAACGUCUUGGUGUAUUAAUGUGAUAUUCUGGAGGGUUUUUGACCAUUUUAUCCAUCCUUGUUCUUCGUGUCUUAAUAUGGGUUUCUAGAGGAUUUCUGACCCUUUUUAAAUUCAUUCUUGAGUGGAAAAUAUCAAAAACUUCAUCACCAAAUAUGUGUAACAAAUGGUAUAAACGCAGAAUCUGCUGAUUUUCUGUGUUGUUCCAAAGGUCUUUAUAUAUUGAUGUUAUAUUCUGGAGGGUUUUUGACCAUUUUCAUCCAUUCUCCCUAUAAAAAAAAAUACAAAAUUCAGCACCAAAUGUGUGUAACAAAUGAUAUCAACCCAAAAAUAGACAUAGUUGAACUGGAAAUAGACAAAAAACAAUAUUCUGAACCCUUUUACACUCUAAUGGGCAUAAUUAAGUGACUAAUUAAGUCAUCUUUGUUAGAGAUUUAUGACCAGAACAACUUGAGCUUUUACAUGAUGUCUAACACUUGUAUGUGGCAUUUAUUGUUGACCUGCUAUCUCCCCCUAAACAUCCACUGCCCCAGCUCUCUGUCAGGUUAAAAUAAGUAGUUAAGUAGCGUUAAAUGUAAUGUAGUUACUCACAGAAGUUUAACUCAGAAUAAAAACCUAUACAAGACGAGUCUUGCGAGUCCUUUUGACGCGGACUUUAUCGCUCUUUACACUGCAAAAAAGGUGUCUAAAAACAAGAUAAAACACUAAAUCUGAGGGAAUUGAUCUUGCUGCAUGGACAGAUAAUUUCACUUGACAAGAUUUCUUAAAUUAAGAUUGUUAAAUAUACACUGCAAAAAAAGAAAAGUUGGGUGAACUCAAAAUUUCAAGGCAACAAACUUCGAUAAAAUUUGAAGUUGGACAGUUAAACUAAAUAUUUUCAGUUUUGUUUUUGAGUUUUCUCAACUCUGAAUUCAGAUUUUUGUCAACUCAACUGUAAGUUGUACUAACUUAUAAUUUUACAUUGUAAUAACUUUUAAUCCUUACUUCUGCUAACUUCUGCAAUGUGCUGAAUUGGCACGAUUGUAACGCCGCUAUGAAAUGUCAGCUAAUGUUGCUACCACAAUUUUGAGUUAGCAUUGAUACGCUAAUGGCUACUCUUGUAGCUGUAACAAGCAGCGCCGCUAGCAUCAGUUAGCCGCUAGCAUCAGAUAGCCGCUAGCAUCAGUUAGCCACUAGCAUCAGUUAGCCGCUAGCUUUCGCUAAUGACCGAAUUUCACCCCUUUUCUGCAUUUCACAACAAAGAAAUAAGAGUUAUCAGAACUAUUGUCCCUUGUUGUGAACCCCAACUUAAAGAUAUAAGUAACAACAACUCAACAACUUGUUUUUGA
Centropristis striata (black sea bass) is the source of this 2879-nucleotide long non-coding RNA. RefSeq lists it as uncharacterized. Lineage: Eukaryota; Metazoa; Chordata; Actinopteri; Perciformes; Serranidae. The transcript is spliced from 5 exons. The record is from RefSeq and is a predicted model, not a curated record.